UAGGGAAUCUUCGGCAAUGGACGAAAGUCUGACCGAGCAACGCCGCGUGAGUGAAGAAGGUUUUCGGAUCGUAAAACUCUGUUGUUAGAGAAGAACAAGGACGUUAGUAACUGAACGUCCCCUGACGGUAUCUAACCAGAAAGCCACGGCUAACUACGUGCCAGCAGCCGCGGUAAUACGUAGGUGGCAAGCGUUGUCCGGAUUUAUUGGGCGUAAAGCGGGCGCAGGCGGUUUCUUAAGUCUGAUGUGAAAGCCCCCGGCUCAACCGGGGAGGGUCAUUGGAAACUGGGAGACUUGAGAGCAGAAGGGGAGAGUGGAAUUCCGUGUGUAGCGGUGAAAUGCGUAUAUAUAUGGAGGAACACCAGUGGCGAAGUCGGCUCUCUGGUCUGUAACUGCCGCUGAGGCUCGAAAGCGUGGGGGGCAAACAGG
Molecule: ribosomal RNA, 429 nt
Filed under: Gemmatimonadota bacterium
Lineage: Bacteria; Pseudomonadati; Gemmatimonadota
Description: Gemmatimonadetes bacterium partial 16S ribosomal RNA
Rfam family: Bacterial small subunit ribosomal RNA
Source: RNAcentral